GGUGAACGCUGGCGGCGUGCCUAAUACAUGCAAGUCGAGCGAACGGACGAGAAGCUUGCUUCUCUGAUGUUAGCGGCGGACGGGUGAGUAACACGUGGAUAACCUACCUAUAAGACUGGGAUAACUUCGGGAAACCGGAGCUAAUACCGGAUAAUAUUUUGAACCGCAUGGUUCAAAAGUGAAAGACGGUCUUGCUGUCACUUAUAGAUGGAUCCGCGCUGCAUUAGCUAGUUGGUAAGGUAACGGCUUACCAAGGCAACGAUGCAUAGCCGGCCUGAGAGGGUGAUCGGCCACACUGGAACUGAGACACGGUCCAGACUCCUACGGGAGGCAGCAGUAGGGAAUCUUCCGCAAUGGGCGAAAGCCUGACGGAGCAACGCCGCGUGAGUGAUGAAGGUCUUCGGAUCGUAAAACUCUGUUAUUAGGGAAGAACAUAUGUGUAAGUAACUGUGCACAUCUUGACGGUACCUAAUCAGAAAGCCACGGCUAACUACGUG
RNAcentral lists this ribosomal RNA (497 nucleotides) under uncultured bacterium. RNAcentral's name for it is "partial 16S ribosomal RNA". It matches the Rfam family "Bacterial small subunit ribosomal RNA", at positions 28 to 507 of the family's 1533-position model. The record is from RNAcentral.